This 77-nucleotide transfer RNA is filed under the name Candidatus Omnitrophota bacterium. RNAcentral's name for it is "tRNA-His". It matches the Rfam family "tRNA". Rfam says of the family: Transfer RNA (tRNA) molecules are approximately 80 nucleotides in length. Their secondary structure includes four short double-helical elements and three loops (D, anti-codon, and T loops). Lineage: Bacteria; Pseudomonadati; Candidatus Omnitrophota. The record is from RNAcentral.
GUGGGUAUAGCUCAGCUCGGUAGAGCGCUUGACUGUGGCUCAAGUUGUCGCGGGUUCAAAUCCCGUUACCCACCCCA